GCUCCCGUAGCUCAGGGGUAGAGCGUUUCCUUGGUAAGGAAAAGGUCAUGAGUUCAAAUCUCAUCGGGAGCU
Molecule: transfer RNA, 72 nt
Filed under: Acidobacteriota bacterium
Lineage: Bacteria; Pseudomonadati; Acidobacteriota
Description: tRNA-Thr
Rfam family: tRNA
About the family: Transfer RNA (tRNA) molecules are approximately 80 nucleotides in length.
Source: RNAcentral